AAAAUCAGCUAUGGGUUCUGAUGCGGAUAUGGAGGAUUAUGGAUUCGAGUAUUCGGACGAGGAGCAGGAAGAACAAGAUGUUGAUAUAGAGAAUCAGUACUACAAUUCUAAAGGUAUGGUCGAAACUGAUCCCAAAGGAGCACUUGAGGGUUUUGCUGAAGUAGUACAUAUGGAGCCUGAGAAGGCAGAGUGGGGAUUUAAAGCUUUAAAGCAAACUGUUAAGCUUUACUAUAAGCUAGGGAAGUUCAAGGAAAUGAUGGAUUCUUAUAGAGAAAUGCUUACCUACAUAAAAUCAGCAGUGACACGGAACUAUAGUGAGAAGUGUAUAAAUGGUAUCAUGGAUUUUGUUUCUGGAUCAGCUAGUCAGAACUUCAGCCUUUUGCAAGAGUUCUACCAGACAACAUUGAAAGCCCUCGAAGAGGCAAAGAAUGAGAGGUUGUGGUUCAAGACAAAUCUAAAGCUUUGCAAGAUUUGGUUUGACAUGGGGGAAUAUGGACGAAUGAGCAAGAUUCUGAAAGAGCUCCACAAAUCUUGUAAAAAAGAAGAUGGCACUGAUGAUGAGAAGAAAGGGACACAAUUGUUG
RNAcentral lists this unclassified non-coding RNA (583 nucleotides) under Hevea brasiliensis (rubber tree). The record is from RNAcentral. Lineage: Eukaryota; Viridiplantae; Streptophyta; Magnoliopsida; Malpighiales; Euphorbiaceae.